GUUUUAUUUUGGGAAAGAAAAAAUAGAUGUUCAGACUCAACCUCUCUCUCUUCUUUCGGAGGCCCAGCUCCCCAACGCUCUCUCUCUCUCUCUCUCUCAUACACACAUAAACGCCAGACCUUCAAGAAACCACCCAUUUAUUGAUCGUGAACAAGAAACCGCAAAGAACGAAAAGCACCGCAACCUCAAGAAAGAGCUCCAUCAAUCCACAGAGCCUGAUCCUCUUGCUCCUCAGAUGCUCCCUCACAACCUCCGUUUUCAGAUCUCCGAUCUCUCUCCUUAGCGGCUUCUCCAUCUCCUGAAUCACAAAACCAUCAACUCCGGUCAUCAAUUACAGAAACAGAUCGAAAAUCAAUUUUUAUGGUUUUUCUAGCUGCUGAGCUUGAACUUCUUCACAGGCCUUUACUCAGAUGGGUGUAUUUGGUAAAUUACAACCGACAAUAAAUCCAUGUCGUCCUCAGCCCUCAAGUCCAAGAAGGGAAAGACACGUUAUAUAUCUUCCUCUCAACGUCAGUUCGAUCUCUCUCUCUUUUCUUGUUUGUUAAUAGUAUCUGAAUUGUGUGUGGGUCAGAGGUCGGUGAAGAAGAAAGGGCUGUAUUCUUUACCCCCGGUCGUGGCAGGCUUCUUUAUCACUUGUGAUCGUGCUGCUGCUUUAUAUGCAAAAGUAUCCAAUUUCUCUCUUAAUGUCUAUGGUCUGAAUUUCUCGGAUUAAAGCUCACAUAUUGGAUUGUAGAGAAAGAGAGUUUAGGGGUGUAUUGGGAUGGCUUUUCGUGGAGAUGCAAAGCUGGGUUUUGGAUGGUAAAUUACCUAUUUGCGUUUUUGGAUGGUAAAAAAGCUGGGUAUCUCUUUCAUGAACUGCAGAGGCUGCACUGAAGGAAUUGAGGAAUAGGUUCCUACCUAUUUACCUAUCUACCUGACUGCCUCUUUGUUUCUAGAAAGUCUUUAUAUUGUACUUUCUUUAUUUUAGGAGAGCUUUUAAGGUCUUGAUUGCUUUAUUUUUGCUGGAUCUAGAGGGAUUCAGAGUUCUAAAUUCAAAGACCUUCAGAAACUCAUUGCCAACAAAUUAGAAUGCUCAGUAGUAAAGAAAGAGGCAGUGAAUGAAUCAAGUCCUAUUAAGGUUUUGGUUGCUGCCUAUACAAGAGGCAGUUUUCUUUUCUAUUUGAGUUUCAGUUCACUUGAGUAGGACUUUUCAUGAAUGAAAUACAAUGCUCUACCAUGUUUUUCCUAUAUAUUCAAAUGGCUGUAAUUUAUGCUUAUUCCACAUUUUUUAUUCUUCAGACCAAAUCAAAGUAUUGCUUGACCAACAAGAGAGGUUGUAUGAAAGACAAGCUGAACUACAAGCUCUACUGGAAGCUUCCAAAGGUCCUGGACCCCCUGUUAAUGGGGCUUCAACAGCCACAGAAGGCUGGUCUGGAUCAUCGCGAGUGCUUGACCUAGAAGAGAUUCUCGAGUGAUGCGGCCGGGACGAUGAUUCCGAAUCACCUACUGCAGAUUCUCAUGAUUUACUUAACGACAGCGCAGUAUUUCUUCGGAGUAGAGUUGAAAGGGUAGUAUCUGAUUGCUCUGACGUUGGUCUGUUAGGGGAUCAAGAUUUUGAAGCAUAUAUGGGACGUUUUGAGCAGGAGCUUAGCUCCAUGGAGGCCGAGAAUGCUAAGGUUUCCAAUGAAAUUUGAGGGUCUAGUUCGAACCCAUGAGGAAGAUGAGGGUACUAUCUUGGUCUGGCAUGCUACUGCACAUUGACUUGUAAAUGACACAUAAUGGGAUAAUGUUUUUGUUUCUUAUGAGUUCUGUUUAGGUAGGGUUAGUUUUGAUUAUGUUCUAUCUUUUAUCUAUCGUUAACUAAUCAUACUAUUAUAGGUGUAUUAUAUUCUUUUCCGAUGAUCUAUUGGCUUGCUUUGAGGAGGAAAAGGUAGCAUCAGAAGUUCUCUUAGCUGCACCCUGGUAAAAAGUACUGUUUGAUUACACAGAUCCUACGCCAAAAUGAAUGCUUUUUUGCCUCAAGGGACAUGUGUGAAGUGAUGGCAAAAAUCAUGGAAGUCUAGGUUGCUAGAGCUAUUGUUAGCAUGAUUGGUCAGUUUGGUAUUGAGUUCUACUCUGCAUAUCUUGUUGCUGAGAAGGAAGAGGAAGGAACUGUAUAGAGGAAGUUGAUGGAGAGAAGGAAAUGGACAAGUACAAUAUGUUUCUGGCCUUGAUGUUUUUGGCCUUUAUGUUUAGGUAGGAUUAGUAUGUUGAUGUUGGGAUGAUGAUGUAAUGAACUGGUUUUGAAUGUUCAAUCAAUGGAUGUGUUUUUGAAUGUGUUA
Long non-coding RNA from Rosa rugosa (rugosa rose), 2300 nucleotides. RefSeq lists it as uncharacterized. Lineage: Eukaryota; Viridiplantae; Streptophyta; Magnoliopsida; Rosales; Rosaceae. The transcript has 6 exons. The record is from RefSeq and is a predicted model, not a curated record.